UCGAACCCUGCAAAGCAGAACGACCCGUGAACACGUAAAAACAACCGAGUGUCGAGUGGGUUGAGCACUUGUUUGGAUCCUCUCGAUGCUUUGUCGAUGUGCAUUUGCUUGUGUUCUUUUGGACAUGGUGAAUGUUUCAUUGGCGCAAUAACAACCCCCGGCACAAUGUGUGCCAAGGAAAACUAAACUUGAGAAGGCUUGUUUCAUGUUGCCCCGUUCGCGGUGUGCUCAUGGGAUGUGGCUUCUUUAUAAAUCCCGUCGCCCCCAACAAACUAUGUUGGGGNCGGAUAUUGGUCUCCCGUGCUUAUGGCGUGGUUGGCCAAAAUAGGAGUCCCUUCGAUGGACGCACGAACUAGUGGUGGUCGUAAAAACCCUCGUUCUUUGUUUUGUGUCGUCGGUCGCAAGGAUAAGCUCUNUAAAAACCCCAAUGUGUUGUCUUAGGAUGACGCUUCGACCG
Molecule: ribosomal RNA, 457 nt
Filed under: Matricaria chamomilla var. recutita
Lineage: Eukaryota; Viridiplantae; Streptophyta; Magnoliopsida; Asterales; Asteraceae
Description: partial internal transcribed spacer
Source: RNAcentral